GGGGUUGUAGCUCAGCUGGUAGAGCGUCGGCACGGCACGCCGAAGGCCGAGGGUUCGAGUCCCUUCUACUCCA
Molecule: transfer RNA, 73 nt
Filed under: Micromonospora echinospora
Lineage: Bacteria; Bacillati; Actinomycetota; Actinomycetes; Micromonosporales; Micromonosporaceae
Description: tRNA-Ala
Rfam family: tRNA
About the family: Transfer RNA (tRNA) molecules are approximately 80 nucleotides in length.
Source: RNAcentral